GUCCUCGUAGGUCACGGAAGUCCGCCCCGCAGGGAUGGAAAACUCGGGGAUCACCAACUCGGGGAUCGCAUUACUGGGAUGCGGCGGUUCGACUCCGCCCGAGGAUA
Mycena olivaceomarginata is the source of this 107-nucleotide non-coding RNA. Lineage: Eukaryota; Fungi; Basidiomycota; Agaricomycetes; Agaricales; Mycenaceae. The record is from the annotation of a GenBank genome assembly.